CUCAGGACGAACGCUGGCGGCGUGCCUAACACAUGCAUGUCGAGCGGGGACAGGGAAGCUUGCUUUUCUGUUCUAGCGGCGGACGGGUGAGUAACGCGUGAGCAACCUGCCUUAUACUGGGGAAUAACGCAUCGAAAGAUGUGCUAAUACCGCGUAAGACCACACUACCGCAUGGCAGAGGGGUCAAAGGAGCAAUCCGGUGUAAGAUGGGCUCGCGUCCGAUUAGCUAGUUGGUGAGAUAACGGCCCACCAAGGCGACGAUCGGUAGCCGACCUGAGAGGGUGAUCGGCCACAUUGGAACUGAGACACGGUCCAGACUCCUACGGGAGGCAGCAGUGGGGAAUAUUGGGCAAUGGGCGAAAGCCUGACCCAGCGACGCCGCGUGAGGGAAGAAGGUCUUCGGAUUGUAAACCUUAAACAACAGGGACGAAGAAAAUGACGGUACCUGUUAGGAAGCCACGGCUAACUACGUGCCAGCAGCCGCGGUAAUACGUAGGUGGCAAGCGUUAUCCGGAUUUACUGGGUGUAAAGGGUGUGUAGGCGGGAUGGCAAGUCAGAUGUGAAAACUAUGGGCUCAACCCAUAGCCUGCAUUUGAAACUGUCGUUCUUGAGUGUCGGAGAGGUAAAUGGAAUUCCCGGUGUAGCGGUGAAAUGCGUAGAUAUCGGGGAGGAAACACCCGGUGGCGAAGGCGGUUUACUGGACGACAACUGACGCUGAGACACGAAAGUGUGGGGAGCAAACAGGAUUAGAUACCCUGGUAGUCCACACCGUAAACGAUGAAUGCUAGGUGUAGGGGCGAUAGCCUCUGUGCCGCAGCUAACGCAAUAAGCAUUCCACCUGGGGAGUACGGCCGCAAGGUUGAAACUCAAAGGAAUUGACGGGAGCCCGCACAAGCAGUGGAGUAUGUGGUUUAAUUCGACGCAACGCGAAGAACCUUACCAGGUCUUGACAUCCAAGGAAGUCGGCGUAAUGGCUGAUGUGCCCUUCGGGGAAUCUUGAGACAGGUGGUGCAUGGUUGUCGUCAGCUCGUGUCGUGAGAUGUUGGGUUAAGUCCCGCAACGAGCGCAACCCUUACGGUCAGUUGCUACGCAGGAGCACUCUGGCCGGACUGCCGUUGACAAAACGGAGGAAGGCGGGGAUGACGUCAAAUCAUCAUGCCCCUUAUGAUCUGGGCUACACACGUACUACAAUGGCGAAUACAAAGGGAAGCAAUACCGCGAGGUGGAGCAAAUCCCAUAAAAAUCGUCCCAGUUCAGAUUGCAGGCUGCAACCCGCCUGCAUGAAGUUGGAAUAAAGAGUAAUCGCGAAUCAGCAUGUCGCGGUGAAUAC
Molecule: ribosomal RNA, 1330 nt
Filed under: uncultured bacterium
Lineage: Bacteria
Description: bacterial SSU rRNA
Rfam family: Bacterial small subunit ribosomal RNA
Source: RNAcentral